AUUGAACGCUGGCGGCAGGCCUAACACAUGCAAGUCGAGCGGAUGAAGGGAGCUUGCUCCUGGAUUCAGCGGCGGACGGGUGAGUAAUGCCUAGGAAUCUGCCUGGUAGUGGGGGAUAACGUCCGGAAACGGGCGCUAAUACCGCAUACGUCCUGAGGGAGAAAGGGGGGGAUCUUCGGACCUCACGCUAUCAGAUGAGCCUAGGUCGGAUUAGCUAGUUGGUGGGGUAAAGGCCUACCAAGGCGACGAUCCGUAACUGGUCUGAGAGGAUGAUCAGUCACACUGGAACUGAGACACGGUCCAGACUCCUACGGGAGGCAGCAGUGGGGAAUAUUGGACAAUGGGCGAAAGCCUGAUCCAGCCAUGCCGCGUGUGUGAAGAAGGUCUUCGGAUUGUAAAGCACUUUAAGUUGGGGGGAAGGGCAGUAAGUUAAUACCUUGCUGUUUUGACGUUACCAACAGAAUAAGCACCGGCUAACUUCGUG
RNAcentral lists this ribosomal RNA (484 nucleotides) under uncultured bacterium. RNAcentral describes it as "partial 16S ribosomal RNA". It matches the Rfam family "Bacterial small subunit ribosomal RNA", at positions 30 to 507 of the family's 1533-position model. The record is from RNAcentral.